Molecule: ribosomal RNA, 253 nt
Filed under: uncultured bacterium
Lineage: Bacteria
Description: partial 16S ribosomal RNA
Rfam family: Bacterial small subunit ribosomal RNA
Source: RNAcentral
UACGAAGGGAGCUAGCGUUGUUCGGACUCACUGGGCGUAAAGCGCACGUAGGCGGAUGUGUCAGUCAGGGGUGAAAUCCCGGAGCUCAACUUCGGAACUGCCCUUGAUACAGCACGUCUUGAGUCCGGAAGAGGUGGGUGGAAUUCCUAGUGUAGAGGUGAAAUUCGUAGAUAUUAGGAAGAACACCGGUGGCGAAGGCGGCCCACUGGUCCGGUACUGACGCUGAGGUGCGAAAGCGUGGGGAGCAAACAGG